This 309-nucleotide unclassified non-coding RNA is filed under the name rhizosphere metagenome. Its description in RNAcentral is "partial ribosomal RNA internal transcribed spacer region". The record is from RNAcentral.
GUAGGUGAGUAACAUGGAUUUUAUUUUCCCAUCAUUAUUUUAUCUUGUAACCCUUUGCUAACAUGUGAUUUUAGGUGAACCUGCGGAAGGAUCAUUACCCUGAAUAAUUUCAGUCGGGGGUUGGUUUGGUUUUGUGUUUCGGCGCUCUAUCAGCCAGCUCUGUCUGCAUAUACCCUGUUUUUCGCGUACCUUUGUUUCCUUGGCAGGCGGACGCGCCUGUCAGUAGGACCCCUUUCAACCCUUGUAAUAGCAGUCAGCGUCAGAAAAAAACAAUAGUUACAACUUUCAACAACGGAUCUCUUGGUUCUG